RNAcentral lists this ribosomal RNA (496 nucleotides) under uncultured bacterium. RNAcentral's name for it is "partial 16S ribosomal RNA". It matches the Rfam family "Bacterial small subunit ribosomal RNA", at positions 29 to 507 of the family's 1533-position model. The record is from RNAcentral.
AUGAACGCUGGCGGCGUGCCUAAUACAUGCAAGUCGAGCGAACGGACGAGAAGCUUGCUUCUCUGAUGUUAGCGGCGGACGGGUGAGUAACACGUGGAUAACCUACCUAUAGGACUGGGAUAACUUCGGGAAACCGGAGCUAAUACCGGAUAAUAUUUUGAACCGCAUGGUUCAAAAGUGAAAGACGGUCUUGCUGUCACUUAUAGAUGGAUCCGCGCUGCAUUAGCUAGUUGGUAAGGUAACGGCUUACCAAGGCAACGAUGCAUAGCCGACCUGAGAGGGUGAUCGGCCACACUGGAACUGAGACACGGUCCAGACUCCUACGGGAGGCAGCAGUAGGGAAUCUUCCGCAAUGGGCGAAAGCCUGACGGAGCAACGCCGCGUGAGUGAUGAAGGCCUUCGGAUCGUAAAACUCUGUUAUUAGGGAAGAACAUAUGUGUAAGUAACUGUGCACAUCUUGACGGUACCUAAUCAGAAAGCCACGGCUAACUACGUG